UAUAACCGGCGAUUUCCGAAUGGGGAAACCCAGUGUGAUUCGUCACACUAUCAUUAACUGAAUCCAUAGGUUAAUGAGGCGAACCGGGGGAACUGAAACAUCUAAGUACCCCGAGGAAAAGAAAUCAACCGAGAUUCCCCCAGUAGCGGCGAGCGAACGGGGAGGAGCCCAGAGCCUGAAUCAGUGUGUGUGUUAGUGGAAGCGUCUGGAAAGGCGCGCGAUACAGGGUGACAGCCCCGUACACAAAAAUGCACAUACUGUGAGCUCGAUGAGUAGGGCGGGACACGUGGUAUCCUGUCUGAAUAUGGGGGGACCAUCCUCCAAGGCUAAAUACUCCUGACUGACCGAUAGUGAACCAGUACCGUGAGGGAAAGGCGAAAAGAACCCCGGCGAGGGGAGUGAAAAAGAACCUGAAACCGUGUACGUACAAGCAGUGGGAGCCUCUUAAUGGGGUGACUGCGUACCUUUUGUAUAAUGGGUCAGCGACUUAUAUUCUGUAGCAAGGUUAACCGAAUAGGGGAGCCGAAGGGAAACCGAGUCUUAACUGGGCGUUAAGUUGCAGGGUAUAGACCCGAAACCCGGUGAUCUAGCCAUGGGCAGGUUGAAGGUUGGGUAACACUAACUGGAGGACCGAACCGACUAAUGUUGAAAAAUUAGCGGAUGACUUGUGGCUGGGGGUGAAAGGCCAAUCAAACCGGGAGAUAGCUGGUUCUCCCCGAAAGCUAUUUAGGUAGCGCCUCGUGAAUUCAUCUCCGGGGGUAGAGCACUGUUUCGGCAAGGGGGUCAUCCCGACUUACCAACCCGAUGCAAACUGCGAAUACCGGAGAAUGUUAUCACGGGAGACACACGGCGGGUGCUAACGUCCGUCGUGAAGAGGGAAACAACCCAGACCGCCAGCUAAGGUCCCAAAGUCAUGGUUAAGUGGGAAACGAUGUGGGAAGGCCCAGACAGCCAGGAUGUUGGCUUAGAAGCAGCCAUCAUUUAAAGAAAGCGUAAUAGCUCACUGGUCGAGUCGGCCUGCGCGGAAGAUGUAACGGGGCUAAACCAUGCACCGAAGCUGCGGCAGCGACGCUGAUGCGUUGUUGGGUAGGGGAGCGUUCUGUAAGCCUGUGAAGGUGGCCUGUGAGGGUUGCUGGAGGUAUCAGAAGUGCGAAUGCUGACAUAAGUAACGAUAAAGCGGGUGAAAAGCCCGCUCGCCGGAAGACCAAGGGUUCCUGUCCAACGUUAAUCGGGGCAGGGUGAGUCGACCCCUAAGGCGAGGCCGAAAGGCGUAGUCGAUGGGAAACAGGUUAAUAUUCCUGUACUUGGUGUUACUGCGAAGGGGGGACGGAGAAGGCUAUGUUGGCCGGGCGACGGUUGUCCCGGUUUAAGCGUGUAGGCUGGUUUUCCAGGCAAAUCCGGAAAAUCAAGGCUGAGGCGUGAUGACGAGGCACUACGGUGCUGAAGCGACAAAUGCCCUGCUUCCAGGAAAAGCCUCUAAGCAUCAGGUAACAUCAAAUCGUACCCCAAACCGACACAGGUGGUCAGGUAGAGAAUACCAAGGCGCUUGAGAGAACUCGGGUGAAGGAACUAGGCAAAAUGGUGCCGUAACUUCGGGAGAAGGCACGCUGAUAUGUAGGUGAAGCGACUUGCUCGUGGAGCUGAAAUCAGUCGAAGAUACCAGCUGGCUGCAACUGUUUAUUAAAAACACAGCACUGUGCAAACACGAAAGUGGACGUAUACGGUGUGACGCCUGCCCGGUGCCGGAAGGUUAAUUGAUGGGGUUAGCGGUAACGCGAAGCUCUUGAUCGAAGCCCCGGUAAACGGCGGCCGUAACUAUAACGGUCCUAAGGUAGCGAAAUUCCUUGUCGGGUAAGUUCCGACCUGCACGAAUGGCGUAAUGAUGGCCAGGCUGUCUCCACCCGAGACUCAGUGAAAUUGAACUCGCUGUGAAGAUGCAGUGUACCCGCGGCAAGACGGAAAGACCCCGUGAACCUUUACUAUAGCUUGACACUGAACAUUGAGCCUUGAUGUGUAGGAUAGGUGGGAGGCUUUGAAGUGUGGACGCCAGUCUGCAUGGAGCCGACCUUGAAAUACCACCCUUUAAUGUUUGAUGUUCUAACGUGGGCCCCUUACCGGGGUUGCGGACAGUGUCUGGUGGGUAGUUUGACUGGGGCGGUCUCCUCCUAAAGAGUAACGGAGGAGCACGAAGGUUGGCUAAUCCUGGUCGGACAUCAGGAGGUUAGUGCAAUGGCAUAAGCCAGCUUGACUGCGAGCGUGACGGCGCGAGCAGGUGCGAAAGCAGGUCAUAGUGAUCCGGUGGUUCUGAAUGGAAGGGCCAUCGCUCAACGGAUAAAAGGUACUCCGGGGAUAACAGGCUGAUACCGCCCAAGAGUUCAUAUCGACGGCGGUGUUUGGCACCUCGAUGUCGGCUCAUCACAUCCUGGGGCUGAAGUAGGUCCCAAGGGUAUGGCUGUUCGCCAUUUAAAGUGGUACGCGAGCUGGGUUUAGAACGUCGUGAGACAGUUCGGUCCCUAUCUGCCGUGGGCGCUGGAGAACUGAGGGGGGCUGCUCCUAGUACGAGAGGACCGGAGUGGACGCAUCACUGGUGUUCGGGUUGUCAUGCCAAUGGCACUGCCCGGUAGCUAAAUGCGGAAGAGAUAAGUGCUGAAAGCAUCUAAGCACGAAACUUGCCCCGAGAUGAGUUCUCCCUGAGACUUAGAGUCUCCUGAAGGAACGUUGAAGACGACGACGUUGAUAGGCCGGGUGUGUAAGCGCAGCGAUGCGUUGAGCUAACCGGUACUAAUGAACCGUGAGGCUUAACCU
This 2805-nucleotide ribosomal RNA is filed under the name Escherichia coli. Its description in RNAcentral is "23S ribosomal RNA". It matches the Rfam family "Bacterial large subunit ribosomal RNA". The record is from RNAcentral. Lineage: Bacteria; Pseudomonadati; Pseudomonadota; Gammaproteobacteria; Enterobacterales; Enterobacteriaceae.